Xiphophorus hellerii (green swordtail) is the source of this 1287-nucleotide long non-coding RNA. RefSeq lists it as uncharacterized. The transcript has 3 exons. The record is from RefSeq and is a predicted model, not a curated record. NCBI's taxonomy places the organism in Eukaryota, Metazoa, Chordata, Actinopteri, Cyprinodontiformes, Poeciliidae.
AUGCAUGGCUCCUUGCAAACUGAAAAUGUGUGCAUGGAAAAAGCCAGAAUUAUCAUUUUGCAUAGGGUUUUUACUGCUACUGUUUUACGUGUUAAUUUUGCGUUUCAAGAAAUUACAAAAGCCCUGAAAAGUGUUGCAUAUAAGCUUUAAUUUAGACUGAGUUGACCAAUAUUUGCCAUGUAAUUACGUACUAAUUUAACAUUAUUAAAGCUGCAGUAUGUAACUUUUAUAAAGAAUAAGAUUUUUGUGCAUAUUUGUCAAAACUGUCAUGCUGAGCUCAAUCUUUUUCCACUGGUUAUCUGUUUCAUACAAUACUGUCACAACAUUGUGAUAUUUUCAACAAAUAUAUAAAACAAUAUAUUUUUUAAUAGUUACAUACUGCAGCUUUAACACCGGGAGCUGGUUUGAAAUAGUUCUCUGUGUUUCGUAGAUAACUGGAGUCACAUAAACUUACUCUUUCUUCUACAGGAACUGAGGCCUCAACAGAGAUAAAAAUAUGUCUGGAAGGAUGGAUGGAAAUGACAUGGAAAUACCCUUGUGAUGAACAAAAAUAUGAUAAACUCAAAGUAAUUUUACCAACUAAAACCAUACAGAUCAAUCAGACAGACAAAUGGGAAAAAAGUGGCAAAUAUUUUUUUUACCAUGAUACAUUGGAAAAAUAUCUUAGACUAAAGGUAUGGCCUUUUAACUCCAAGGACAAUGGAACUUAUGGAUUUAAUUGUGAUGAAAACGCAAAAAAGAGUGAAGUAAAGAUUGUUGAAAAAACACACAUGCAAGACACUCAAUCAAACUGCUUACCGAACAGCUAAAACGACCAUCAAAUGUGAUUAUCCAGAUAUGUAUCUGUCCAAAACCAAGUUCAUCUGCAAAGAAAACAACUUCACUUGUAAGAGUAUCUUAACAACAAAAUCAUCUAAAAAUUCAACAGGAAGAUUCACCCUGACUCAUACAAGCAGCGACUUCAAUUUGUCAAUUAGUCCUGUGUCCUUUAACGAUGCUGGUGUUUAUUGGUGUGGAGUGAUAGAAAGCAAUGGCAGUUACCAAGCUGGAAUCUCAAAAAUACAGCUGGAGGUUAAAAAUAUCACGAUGUUCCCAAGAUUGAGAGCUCCAGGACAAGAUUUAAAAUAUUAUUGCAAAUACGGAAGCAAUUUCUCUAACCUGACAAAAUGUAUCUGUAAGGGAGAGAAUCAAAAUGAAUGUCAGGAUGUUGGAAGCACCACAAAUAACAUGAGUAGGAGGUUUAUGAUGAAGGACAACAAAAUAAACAACACCAUCACCAUAGAAGUG